GCCGCGUUAGUGUUAAGGUAGCAUAGUAAUUAGUUUCUUAAUUGGGAAAUGGAAUGAAUGGUUUCACUAAAAUAUGAUAUUUAUUCUAAUUUGCGAAAUUUUAAUCUGAGUGAAAAUACUCAGAAGAUAUAUUUAGACGAGAAGACCCUAUGAAGCUGGUAGACUUCCAAUGUAAUUAUACGAUAGUUCAUGAGUUUAUUUUUUGGGGUAAAAUUUAAUAAUAGUAUUAAUAUUGGCUUACUGAAUAAUAUCCUCUUGGAAUUAUGAAAAA
RNAcentral lists this ribosomal RNA (271 nucleotides) under Calanus glacialis. RNAcentral's name for it is "partial 16S ribosomal RNA". The record is from RNAcentral. Lineage: Eukaryota; Metazoa; Arthropoda; Copepoda; Calanoida; Calanidae.